UCAUUCGUUUGUUUAUGUGAGACACUACAUGCAGACAGGCAGCGUUCAACCUAUCCCAUCGUGUCCAUACAAAAUACAUGGUGUUUGUUGGUCUCAAAGACAGUUGUUACAAGGUGUUCAUACAAGUUCAAGUGCUUGUGUGUUCCAACGGCAGUUCCAACGAUGAUCGUUCCCCAAGGCAUGAUGAGAUUUACAUGCGUAUCUCUCCUGAUGUGGAUAGUAUCCGGAAAUACAGAACCAUAUUUAUGUCCAGACAGAUGCACGUGCAGUGCUUCGACUAUCACAUGUUCGGGUCUCACACUCUUCCCAGACAUCCGCUCCGAUUCUGCUGUUACUGUGACAAUCACCAGCUCUACCCUUCCACUACCAACCACCGCCUUCAGAACACUGCCAAAACUGACCCAGAUUAGUUUGGGUAAUGUGAACAUCACAAGAAUAGAAAGACGUGCCUUCAAGGAUAUAUCGGGAGGUACUGUGCUGCUGAAUAAUGUCUCCAUCUUGGCAAUUGAAGAGGAAGCAUUCUACAACUUGAAUAGAACAAGGGUUGAUAUUUCUAACUUUGAGAUGGACGUGCUGCCCUCCAGAACAUUUCACAAUGUGUCCUCAUCCUCCUUUACUUUAUCACAUGGACGAGUCACAACAGUCCAGUCACAAGCUUUCAGCAAUAUGGAUGUUUCAUUCCUUAAGAUACACAAUGUCAACAUCACGACCCUUCAGCCUCACGCCUUUCAGAAUGUCACAGCGUCCUACUUUUACAUUUAUAAUUCAAACAUCUCGACGAUCGGUUCAAACUCUUUCGGUAAUCUUACAGCAUCCUUCCUGAAUAUAUACAACGUAAGCAUCAUCUCUAUCCAACCUUAUGCCUUCAACAACAUGACUGUCUCUCAGGUGAAACUGUACAAUGCUAACAUCACCUCUAUCCAGCAAUAUGCCUUCAACAACAUGUCUGCAUCCCACAUGACAAUCAACAAUGCUUACAUUGACAGUCUUCAGUUUCGAGCUUUCAACAACGUGACUGUAUCACAUAUGAGUAUGUUCAAUGUUAAUAUCACCACUAUCCAGCCCUAUGCCUUUCAUAAUAUGACUGUCGCAUACAUGAACAUAUACAAUGCGACCAUCACUACCAUCCAACCCUAUGCCUUCAACAACAUGACUGUCUCUCACAUGAAACUGUACAAUGCAAACAUCACCACCAUCCAGUCUCAAGCCUUCAGCAAUCUCACCAUCUCAUUCCUCAACAUCUUCAGUGUCAACAUUACCACCAUCCAGCCACACGGCUUUGGAGAGAACUUAACUGCCUCCUUCUUCAACUUCUACAACAGCACCAUCACCACUCUCCACGACUACGCCUUUAACAACAAAAGCAGCGCCGUUGUUCGCGCAUUCGUGUACAACAUGGUCGUCACUGAAGGCGGGUGUCAAGCUCUAAACGGGGUAGGGAGGAUCAGGAACGUUACCUUUCUUAGAAAAUGUGGUGGUAUUGAUGAAACAAAUGAUGGUAGCAGACAGUGCCCAGACAGAUGCACGUGCAGUGCUUCGACUGUCACAUGUUCGGGUCUCACACUCUUCCCAGACAUCCGCUCCGAUUCUGCUGUUAGUGUGACAAUCACCAACUCUACCCUUCCACUACCAACCACCGCCUUCAGAACACUGCCAAAACUGACCCAGAUUAGUUUGGGUAAUGUGAACAUCACAAGAAUAGAAAGACGUGCCUUCAAGGAUAUAUCGGGAGGUGCUGUGCUGCUGAAUACUGUCUCCAUCUUGGCAAUUGAAGAGGAAGCAUUCUACAACUUGAAUAGAACAAGGGUGGUUAUUUCUAACUUUGAGGUGGACGUGCUGCCCUCCAGAACAUUUCACAAUGUGUCCUCAUCCUCCUUUUCUCUAUCACAUGGACGAGUCACAACAGUCCAGUCACAAGCCUUCAGCCGUAUGGAUGUUUCAUUCCUGAAGAUACACAAUGUCAACAUCACGACCCUUCAGCCUCACGCCUUUCAGAAUGUCACAGCAUCCUACUUUUACAUUUAUAAUUCAAACAUCGCGACGAUCGGUUCAAACUCUUUCGGUAACCUUACAGCAUCCUUCCUGAAUAUAUACAACGUAAGCAUCAUCUCUAUCCAACCUUAUGCCUUCAACAACAUGACAGUCUCUCACAUGAAACUGUACAAUGCUAACAUCACCUCUAUCCAGCAAUAUGCCUUCAACAACAUGUCUGCAUCCCACAUGACAAUCAACAAUGCUUACAUUGACAGUCUUCAGUUUCGAGCAUUCAACAACGUGACUGUAGCACAUAUGAGUAUGUUCAAUGUUAAUAUCACCACUAUCCAGCCCUAUGCCUUUCAUAAUAUGACUGUCGCACACAUGAACAUAUACAAUGCGACCAUCACUACCAUCCAACCGUAUGCCUUCAACAACAUGACUGUCUCUCACAUGAAACUGUACAAUGCUAACAUCACCACCAUCCAGUCUCAAGCCUUCAGCAAUCUCACCAUCUCAUUCCUCAACAUCUUCAGUGUCAACAUUACCACCAUCCAGCCACACGGCUUUGGAGAGAACUUAACUGCCUCCUUCUUCAACUUCUACAACAGCACCAUCACCACUCUCCACGACUACGCCUUUAACAACAAAAGCAGCGCCGUUGUUCGCGCAUUCGUGUACAACAUGGUCGUCACUGAAGGCGGGUGUCAAGCUCUAAACGGGGUAGGGAGGACCAGGAACGUUACCUUUCUUAGAAAAUGUAACAGCAGUUUAGAAGUGGAAGUCAUACCUCAAAAUGGUGGCAUUGCGCAAGUCACGUAUUUCUAUGACCUUGGAUUUUUCUUUACAUUAGUAACUGGUCUAUUGAUGUUGCAGUAGCUUCAAUACGUCAAGGUCAAGUCAAACACCCUCGUCUGUUGGUAGCUGAGCAGAUGAUGGACCCAAUGACCAGUGAAAUCAACCUCCUGUAGGUAUAUCAAACAAUGACUAAUUGCUGUCAAACAGUGUGUAAGAGUGGUCAUAUCUCAUUAGUUAUACAGUUCAUUAAGGCCUGCUUCUUCCACCACUGUCAAACCCUGUGGAGAAAAACUCUAAACCUUGGACACAAGCGUCUGAACAAGAAAGACCCACAAGUGAGUCUACCCGUGAAGAAUAGGUCGAAUAGGUCUCCAGCAACCCAUGCUUGCUGUAACAGGUGACUAUACUUGUCGUAAGAAGCGACUAACGGGAUCGGGUGGUCAGGCUCGCUGAGUUGGUUGAUGCAUGUCAUCGAAUCCCAUUUGAGUACAUCGAUACUCAUGAUGUCAAUCACUUGAUUUUCUGGUCUGGACUCGAUUAUUUACAGACCGCCGUCAUAUAGCUGGAAUAUUGCUGAGUUAAGCAAUAAACAAACAAACGAGUGAGGCAGUGGGUUAGAAGAGCUUAUGUUCUGGCACUGCGUCCCCAGCAUCUUGUCUAAAACACCAGAUGUUGACUACGUCGUGGACUUCAGAGAUUACAUCGUGAACCCAUGGGUUGAUUACGAAGCGAGAUUUCCCUUGCCGAAACCAAACUUUAGAGCUGCACCACCGAACCACAAAAUAAUCUACUUAGAAAUUAAAAACAGCCUUGCUCGACUAAAAGACCCUCUCCAACAAGGCACAUAAGACUCAACUCGAGUACCUGGAUGCUGUUGGCCACCUACCUCGCCUUUGGUCGACUGAGAAUGAACAACAUGAACAAACCAAGUUUACAAAGUGAACAACAUUAAUGCUUCAUGUACAGUAUAUUUAGGUAUGUUUUCUUGCAAAUGUACACUAUGCAACAUAAUAAAAUGAUAAUAGUCCUCCGUAGGAACGGUCAUUUGUACAACAUGAAAACGAAUAAGUUUAAUCUUCAAAUUGGACUUUUUUCAUUGACUGGAUUAUCCCAAUAGGAUUCUGAGGUAACAAUCAGUUUAUUGCUGUGCACUCAACUAUAAAUUGUGUUGUUUUAAUCUGUCUAACUAAUGGGUGUCUAACAAACGGGUGUCCAACUAAAGGGUGUCUAACUAAUGGGUGUAUAACUAAUGGGUGUCUAACUAAUGGGUGUAAAACUAAUGGAUGUCUAUAACUGAUGGGUGUCUAUAACUACUUGAUGUCUUACAAAUGGGUGUCCAACUAAAGUGUGUCCAACUAAUGGGUGUCUAAAUCAUGGGUGUCUAACUAAUGGGUGUAUAACUAAUGGAUGUCUAUAACUGAUGGGUGUCUUUAACUAAUUGGUGUCUAACAAAUGGGUGUCCAACCUAAGGGUGUCUAACUAAUGGGUGUCUAAAACAUGGGUGUCUUACUAAUGGGUGCAUAACUAAUGGAAAUCUAUAACUAAUUGGUGUCUAACUAAUGGGUGUCGAACUUAAGGGUGUCUAACUAAUGGGUGUCUAAAUCAUGGGUGUCCAACUAAUGGGUGCAUAACUAAUGGAAAUCUAUAACUUAUGGGUGUCCAACUAAUGGAUGUCUAUAUGUAAUGGGUAUCAAACUUAUGAGUGUCUAACUUAUGGGUGUCCAUGUAAUGAGAGUCUAACUAAUGGGUAUCACACUAAAGGGUGUCUAACUUGUGGAUGUCCAUGUAAUGAGAGUCUAACUAACGGGUAUCAAACUAUUGGGUGUCUAACUUAUGGGUAUCACACUUAAGGGUGUCUAACUUAUGGGUGUCCAUGGAAUGAGAGUCUAACUUAUGGGUGUCCAACUUAUGGGUGUCCAUGUAAUGAGAGUCUAACUAAUGGGUGUCUAACUUAUGAGUGUCUAACUUAUGGGUGUCUAACUAAUUGAUGGAGGCCACCGUCAGAGUUUGUAGUAUCUCCAAUUGUUUCUGAGCCUCAUAAUGACACAUUGCAGGCUUCCGGUUCCUAUAUAUAAUCACAGCAGCCCAUGUAAACAGAGCCAUGUAAACAGAGCUCGAUAUGAAAUAAUAUAUUUCGCAUAACAUAUAUUAACAGGGCUAGUUUUAUUCACGAAGUAUAUUCUUUUCGCAAAACCCUUUAUACGGCGGUGGUAAAGGGGCGACAGGGAGAACUUAGUAAUUUAUCAGACACUGUUUUCGAAAAAAAUAUAUAAAUUGCAAGUAAUAAAAAUAAAACAUGUAUAUAAUAAAUAGAAAAUUAAAUGUGUUUUCUCAAAUACCACUUUUAUCUCAUCUCGUGAAGUGGGGAGAGUCUAAUAUUUUCACGAGUGACUGCGUCACUCGUGAAAAUAUGAGACUCUCCCCACUUCACUUGAUGAGAUAAAAGUGGUAUUUGAGAAAACACAUUAAAUAUCAUCAAUCUAUAGUAUAAUGGACGUACACAUGCUCAUUGGCACUUCACAAUGGUUCUGCAAAUUCAUAAAGUGAAGUACGACCAAGCCUCGCAAGAUCUUGUAUGGGCUGAUAAACAUCUUCACUGGCGCUUUCACCCUGUGGGCACUUUCAGGAUCGUUUCAUAUCGUUAAAUCAUGACAUUAACGUUUUGCAUUGUUUACAUAACUAGACAUAUUUACAACUGUAUUAAAUACUAUUAAUUGUUGGUUAUGUUCACGUUUGUUUCUGUUGUCAAAAUGUAUAUAUGAUGUUAUGAUAUGUAACCAGGUGAGCUUUCUUGAUGUGUCACGCCUUUCGCAGUUCGAGCAUUUUUGUCUUCAAGUUAGUUUUCGAGUAGUUUUUAUUACCCAGCAUUGAAUUUCUUUGUGGUAAUAAUAAAUAAACAUAACAACAAAAAAACAAUCAGCAUCUGUGGCUGACACAUUCAUUCACCCUUAUGUAGUCUCGUUUGUAUGCUAUCAUUACAAUAAAACAAUUAUUAAACGUU
This 5773-nucleotide unclassified non-coding RNA is filed under the name Haliotis rufescens (red abalone). RNAcentral's name for it is "slit homolog 2 protein-like, transcript variant X1". The record is from RNAcentral. Lineage: Eukaryota; Metazoa; Mollusca; Gastropoda; Lepetellida; Haliotidae.